This is a long non-coding RNA of Haliotis rubra (blacklip abalone), 462 nucleotides long. RefSeq lists it as uncharacterized. The record is from RefSeq and is a predicted model, not a curated record. The transcript has 4 exons. Lineage: Eukaryota; Metazoa; Mollusca; Gastropoda; Lepetellida; Haliotidae.
GGAGCUGCAUACAGGAUAGACUCCGUGGCCCGUACUUGCACAACAUUCCCCACUCAGGGAAGGUUCGUUGAUCAGGAGAAUGUCUGUGUUCCAGGUGACGCUGUCACCCUGGGUCCCCUCUUCUAUGGGCACAACCAGGACACCCUCCAUGGGACAACGUACUCCACCAACAGCACCACCCCCGACGGCAGGCACCAGAACGUCAUUGCUGUCGUCUCAAAAGAUUGUAUACCAAUAAUCAGCACCAGGAUCACCAGUGGCAACGGCGAAGGUGGAAACUCUCUUUACGUUCUGGCGUACAACAAUGUCUUCCCCGGUGUCAAAGACGUCUCUCUGUUGGAAAUACCGUCCUACUGCUAUGCGUAAUUAUGACAUUGCUGAUGAGAAAAGGAUGUGCCCUGUCAAGUCACCGUGAAAAUGUGAAUCUUGCAAGAUAUUCAUUAAAGCAACUUGAAUGUAAAA